UUACAUGUACUCUUUCUCUGCAUUAUUUUAUCUGUGGUGUUGUCACAAAGAUUCAAAAAGAUCUACACACCUGUACGAGAUGUACGAUUUCCACAGGUUGCCCCGUUUUCUCUACAGCAGCGUCCUCCUUUCUGGCAAGUUGGUGUUGAAGGAAAUGAUCUACUAAUGGAUCACAUAUGGAUUUCAUGAAAGGAAGAGUGGGUCAGAAUACAAGCAGUCCAUGACUAUGGCAA
This is a long non-coding RNA of Saccostrea cuccullata (small rock oyster), 233 nucleotides long. RefSeq lists it as uncharacterized. The transcript has 4 exons. Lineage: Eukaryota; Metazoa; Mollusca; Bivalvia; Ostreida; Ostreidae. The record is from RefSeq and is a predicted model, not a curated record.